Molecule: unclassified non-coding RNA, 724 nt
Filed under: Hevea brasiliensis (rubber tree)
Lineage: Eukaryota; Viridiplantae; Streptophyta; Magnoliopsida; Malpighiales; Euphorbiaceae
Source: RNAcentral
UAAAAAUUAAGCAAUCUGUUUAAGUCUACAAACAGUUCCCACCCUGACCAAAAGAAGUAACAUUAUGCAUGUUACAUGUAACCAUUAAAACAUAUUAUGAACCAUAAUGAUGAACAGAUCAAAGUAGGUGCUGAAGUCGUAAAUGUAUUGCUUACUACAUGCGUGACCUUGAUGUCGAAGAUGUAGCAGCAGGAGCGCUCAAGGGAAUGCCCUUUGCUGCUCUCUCUUCCAAGAACUUUGAUGGCUUGAAGAAAUUACCAUAUACUUCUGACCACUUGCGGAGACUUUUAUAUAUAUGACCAGCCCCAACAGUAUCUCCCCAGAAAACAAUGCCACCUCUGUAAGAUGGGAAACUCAUUCCAAGUACAGAAGCGACAUCAAGGUCUGAUGCUCGGACUACUACCCCCUCAUCCAAAACACGGCAUGCCUCGUUCACAACUGGAAAGAGUAUCAUCUCAACAAUUUCUUGAUCAGUGAUAGAUAUUGGCUUUCCUCCAGGCAUAAUAUUAGUGAGCCUUCUGGACUCCUCAAUAAUUGGAAGAACUGAAGGAUCAGGUCUUGGCUUCUCUCCCUUUUUGUAAAUGUAGUAUCCUUUUCCAUUAUUUUUACCAUUUCGACCACUUUUUAUUAGAAGGUCAAGCAGUGGAGACAUAAAUACUCUAUCAGGAAAAGCCGAACUAUACUCUUUCCCUGUUGCAAUAGCAACUCCAUAUCCAGCUAAAUC